Molecule: long non-coding RNA, 1307 nt
Filed under: Phasianus colchicus (ring-necked pheasant)
Lineage: Eukaryota; Metazoa; Chordata; Aves; Galliformes; Phasianidae
Description: lncRNA (ENSPCLG00000008065.1)
Source: RNAcentral
GUUGUAUCUCAGAAAAUUAGAUUGUUUGUUUGUUUGUUUUUGAAGUUAGUAAAAACUCUGUGCUGACAAGUCUUUUAAUGCUUUAGAGAAAGUGGGUUAUUGAAAUAUAGAAGAGGUGACUGCGAAGCACACACAGAGUGAUGAAAAUUGCCUGUUUGGUUCCAGUGGUAUCUCUACUGUCAAUGGAAAUGUUCUUAUAUCUAGGAGUAGCUUAAAUGGAGGGGAGUCAAUCUUGUGAACAAAUCUCAGUAACUAGUCGAGAAACAGUUUCAUCAGGUUACCUGGUAAAGACUUAAUUUUACUCAGUGAUUUAUUGAUUUUUUUUUUUUUUUUAGCAUUUACCUGACACACGCUUUCUGUGUGGUUGUUUAGGGGAUAUAUAUGAAAAUAAGCAUUAAUGAAAAAAGCAAAUAGAUGUCCUCAUACUUGUCUCUGCCUCUCCCAGAAAUUGCCUUUUCAUCAUUGUCUUUGAUCAGAAGUGUGUUUUUAUCACCUCAAGUUCUGAUGAUGACAUGUCAAAGAAACACUUCCCCAGACUCACUUCCAGGAAGUAAGAGAGAUUUCUCGGGUUUCCUUGGUCUAAUGCCUUGCAAAAGCAUAAAGCCAAAACAAAGGGAGACAGACUUCCUUGGCUGUAUUCUGGCCAUAAAUUGUACCAUAGUAUCUGAAAUGUCUGCAAGACUCUGACCACGUAACUCCAAACUGCAGUGAUCAGAGAUGACACAGGACUCCGUGUUUGCAAGUGAAAGUUUGCACAUCUGUUUUCUAUGAUGCAUUGGGCUGACAAGAGAUGGAGGAUCUGAUGGCAUCCUAUGUGGCUUACAUUCUAGCCACCUGCUAUUGCCAACUAUCAAGCCAUAUUGCCUCCCUUCCCCAUUCUUGGUUUUUUUUUCAUCCAAAUAUAUUAAGUUCACCUUAAGGUUAGUUAGAUUUUUCUACUACUGUGACGGAGUGUGCCAAAGUAUGAAAGCAUGGUUACUUUGAAGCCUUGAUUUAAUUGCAGUCUAAAUAUAUUCUUGAACAUCUUAUGUUGUGCAUGUGUUAUUCUUUCAUUUGAAUAGCUUUACCUUUCCCUUAACUUUUAUUUGUUCAUACCAAGAUCUUGUAAGACAGCCUUCUUCAUUCCCCUAAAUGUCCUAGCAGCCCCUCUUGGCAGCUUGUCCACUUUGAGUUGAUCCAUCUUGAACUUGUUGGACCAGGUCUUAUCACUACGUGUUAUGAAGAUACUAACAUAUUCCUUUCUCUGCAUCUUAGGAUCCUGUAUCUUCUUCCAUUCAUGUCUGAUAUACAUUGACUGAUAUACCUAC